AGUGAACGCUGGCGGUAGGCCUAACACAUGCAAGUCGAACGGCAGCACAGUAAGAGCUUGCUCUUACGGGUGGCGAGUGGCGGACGGGUGAGGAAUACAUCGGAAUCUACUUUUUCGUGGGGGAUAACGUAGGGAAACUUACGCUAAUACCGCGUACGACCUACGGGUGAAAGCAGGGGAUCUUCGGACCUUGCGCGAUUGAAUGAGCCGAUGUCGGAUUAGCUAGUUGGCGGGGUAAAGGCCCGCCAAGGCGACGAUCCGUAGCUGGUCUGAGAGGAUGAUCAGCCACACUGGAACUGAGACACGGUCCAGACUCCUACGGGAGGCAGCAGUGGGGAAUAUUGGACAAUGGGCGCAAGCCUGAUCCAGCCAUACCGCGUGGGUGAAGAAGGCCUUCGGGUUGUAAAGCCCUUUUGUUGGGAAAGAAAAGCAGCAGGUUAAUACCCCGCUGUUCUGACGGUACCCAAAGAAUAAGCACCGGCUAACUUCGUG
RNAcentral lists this ribosomal RNA (492 nucleotides) under uncultured bacterium. RNAcentral describes it as "partial 16S ribosomal RNA". It matches the Rfam family "Bacterial small subunit ribosomal RNA", at positions 29 to 507 of the family's 1533-position model. The record is from RNAcentral.